UGAGGUUCACCGAGGAAGAUGACCGGAGCUCUGGCUCCGACGAUGAGGUGUCUUACCUCUAAACCAUAUGAUCCAAGUCUCAUGUUCUAAUCUGGAUCGUUCCUUGUGAUUACCUCAUUUGCGACGCAGUUGACUCAAGAACACAUGGAGCGCGCGUUUUGGAUCAUCAGAUCUGCCACAUCAAUUAAUGAGGGAGAUCUGAUGGUCCACGUAAUUUAUAUUUUCUGAAAUUU
RNAcentral lists this long non-coding RNA (233 nucleotides) under Lathyrus oleraceus (garden pea). RNAcentral's name for it is "Pisum sativum (pea) long non-coding RNA (PSAT_LNC002577)". Lineage: Eukaryota; Viridiplantae; Streptophyta; Magnoliopsida; Fabales; Fabaceae. The record is from RNAcentral.